Molecule: ribosomal RNA, 878 nt
Filed under: uncultured fungus
Lineage: Eukaryota; Fungi
Description: eukaryotic LSU rRNA
Rfam family: 5.8S ribosomal RNA (bases 432-585)
Source: RNAcentral
UCUUGGUCAUUUAGAGGAAGUAAAAGUCGUAACAAGGUUUCCGUAGGUGAACCUGCGGAAGGAUCAUUAAAGAAAUUUAAUAAUUUUGAAAAUGGAUUUUUUUGUUUUGGCAAGAGCAUGAGAGCUUUUACUGGGCAAGAAGACAAGAGAUGGAGAGUCCAGCCGGGCCUGCGCUUGAGUGCGCGGUCGUGCUAGGCUUGUAAGUUUCUUUCUUGCUAUUCCAAACGGUGAGAGAUUUCUGUGCUUUUGUUAUAGGACAAUUAAAACCGUUUCAAUACAACACACUGUGGAGUUUUCAUAUCUUUGCAACUUUUUCUUUGGGCAUUCGAGCAAUCGGGGCCCAGAGGUAACAAACACAAACAAUUUUAUCUAUUCAUUAAAUUUUUGUCAAAAACAAGAAUUUUCGUAACUGGAAAUUUUAAAAUAUUAAAAACUUUCAACAACGGAUCUCUUGGUUCUCGCAUCGAUGAAGAACGCAGCGAAAUGCGAUACGUAAUGUGAAUUGCAGAAUUCCGUGAAUCAUCGAAUCUUUGAACGCACAUUGCGCCCCUUGGUAUUCCAGGGGGCAUGCCUGUUUGAGCGUCAUUUCCUUCUCAAACAUUCUGUUUGGUAGUGAGUGAUACUCUUUGGAGUUAACUUGAAAUUGCUGGCCUUUUCAUUGGAUGUUUUUUUUCCAAAGAGAGGUUUCUCUGCGUGCUUGAGGUAUAAUGCAAGUACGGUCGUUUUAGGUUUUACCAACUGCGGCUAAUCUUUUUUUAUACUGAGCGUAUUGGAACGUUAUCGAUAAGAAGAGAGCGUCUAGGCGAACAAUGUUCUUAAAGUUUGACCUCAAAUCAGGUAGGAGUACCCGCUGAACUUAAGCAUAUCAAUAAGCGGAG